Molecule: long non-coding RNA, 527 nt
Organism: Bactrocera dorsalis (oriental fruit fly)
Lineage: Eukaryota; Metazoa; Arthropoda; Insecta; Diptera; Tephritidae
Exons: 2
Source: RefSeq, a predicted model, not a curated record
GUACAACUCAGUUUGUCAUCGAGAAUAUGUGGGCUACAUUUUAAGGCGGAGGAAAUAAAAGAAUCUCCCCUUAAAAGAAGACGACUAAGCCCCGAUGCAGUACUAUCAUUAAACUUACUUCCCAAUCUUCAAGAAAAAAAGUCUCAAGACAAACUUGUUUGCGCGAAAAUGAAAGAACUAUAUGAAAGAAUUAUAUUAACUAUUAUAAUUUAAAGAGUCGCAUAAACAUCUGUAUCAUACUUCAUGUUGAGUGAAAAAUUCAUAUGAAUACCUCUUAUAUGCUCCGCUUGAGAAGAGGUGUAAGGUUGGAGUCACCGUGUAAGGUUGUAGUCAGUUGAAAACUUUAAACGCGUUUUCUGGCGAAUCGAAUUUUUUGACUUAUGCCGGUCUUGCAGCAAAUGAGCGAUAUAUAGUUACAAUAAAAUUUGUGAAUAAUGUUGCAUUUAUACACGUAUGUAAUUGUUUGUAAAAUAAAUAUGAAUUCAUUAUAACGUUGAGAGCAAAUAAAUUGGUUGUCUCUAUUCCUA